ACUCCUACGGGAGGCAGCAGUGGGGAAUAUUGGACAAUGGGCGAAAGCCUGAUCCAGCCAUGCCGCGUGUGUGAAGAAGGCCUUUUGGUUGUAAAGCACUUUAAGCGAGGAGGAGGCUACUUAGAUUAAUACUCUAGGAUAGUGGACGUUACUCGCAGAAUAAGCACCGGCUAACUCUGUGCCAGCAGCCGCGGUAAUACA
Molecule: ribosomal RNA, 201 nt
Filed under: uncultured bacterium
Lineage: Bacteria
Description: partial 16S ribosomal RNA
Rfam family: Bacterial small subunit ribosomal RNA
Source: RNAcentral